Molecule: small nuclear RNA, 164 nt
Filed under: Peromyscus maniculatus bairdii (prairie deer mouse)
Lineage: Eukaryota; Metazoa; Chordata; Mammalia; Rodentia; Cricetidae
Description: U1 spliceosomal RNA (ENSPEMG00000024533.1)
Rfam family: U1 spliceosomal RNA
About the family: U1 is a small nuclear RNA (snRNA) component of the spliceosome (involved in pre-mRNA splicing). Its 5' end forms complementary base pairs with the 5' splice junction, thus defining the 5' donor site of an intron.
Source: Rfam by way of RNAcentral
AUACUUACCUGGCAGGGGAGAUACCAUGAUCACGAAGGUGGUUUUCCCAGGGCGAGGCUUAUCCAUUGCACUCCGGAUGUGCUGACCCCUGCGAUUUCCCCAAAUGCGGGAAACUCGACUGCAUAAUUUGUGGUAGUGGGGGACUGCGUUCGCGCUCUCCCCUC